GCGUCUCGGGCUUUCCCCGCCCGGUCGUCGGCUCCAGCGCCGCCCCCGCGGCUGCCUUCGCUGCUGCCCUCGCUGUCAGGGACCGAGGCCAGGAGACCGCCUGGCACUUCGCCCUGUCCCAAACCUGGGACUCCAGGGGCCUCCUGCUGGGGCCGCGAGCAUCAGACUUUCAGAGCUGAAAUCACUUCAUCAAGAAAUGCCAGUUAACCCUUGCCCAGUUCAGCCUCUUGCUGGGGUUUUGGAGGGGUCACCAGGGAUGCCCCUGGGAAGUUUACCCAAAUCCCCCUGGCUCAAUGAACCGAGACUGCCCCCUUGCCUUUGUUCAUCAGCCCUGCUCUGAUCUCCUGGGUGUCUUCACCUCCUCUGGUUCCUAAGUCGGCUGCUGCACCAGCACCCAUCAAACUCUCCUGGAAGAGGAAGUGACAGCUCACCGGUAGCCUAGAAGGCCCCUGUGGGCAGAAGCAUGGACUUACUCCUCCUCAUGGAGAUGCGGCUGAGCCAUAUUUCCUUGGCACCUCUCUGGAACCUUCGACAACCACCACCUCAGACACUAACCAGACUUUAGGUCCAUUCCUUUCAUGGCUAAAAUGAGACAGUCCACAAUGUUGAUUUUAUUUGUAGGGGAUGUCAGGAUUCCAGAAAAGCAGACUUGGAAAGCAACAAAACGUUAACUUGCAGCUCACUGAGGCCCUUACACUUGUUCUGGGCACCUCUGUAUGUUAAAAGAAGUCCAAUAUCUUUAGCUGCUGGUUAUAGGUGGCCAUAUGUUUCUGCACAGAAAUGGGGCUCCCCUUGCUAGACUAAUUUUCUAAUUUUUCCUCAAGCUUCAUUGAUUCAUAUUCUUCUACUUGACCCUGACUGUCAGGACCAACAACACCAAAUAACACCAAAGUCUCUUGCUCCUGUCCUCAGAACCUCUCAGAGGCAUCCUCUGCCCUGUUGGAGCCAUUUUAUUUCAGGUUGAUCCUUAAUUAAAUUCAGCGAGAUGCA
This 990-nucleotide long non-coding RNA is filed under the name Homo sapiens (human). Its description in RNAcentral is "long intergenic non-protein coding RNA 887". The record is from RNAcentral. Lineage: Eukaryota; Metazoa; Chordata; Mammalia; Primates; Hominidae.